This is a long non-coding RNA of Brassica oleracea var. oleracea, 663 nucleotides long. RefSeq lists it as uncharacterized. The record is from RefSeq and is a predicted model, not a curated record. The transcript has 3 exons. Lineage: Eukaryota; Viridiplantae; Streptophyta; Magnoliopsida; Brassicales; Brassicaceae.
AAAUAGAUAAAACAGAGAAAAAGAGGAAAUUGAAAGGAAGAUCUACACCAAAGUUGACAAGAAGAAGAAAAAGAUUUGGUCAAGAGUCUAAAGAUUUCAUUAGGUGACUUGAUUAUAGUGAAUCAUUGAGAAUGUCAGUCUUCUUCCCAGAUGUACAACAAGGGGACUAGAUACAUCGAUGAGGACAUGAGAAUAAGUCGAGGCUUUGAUAACAUUAUCUUUGUGCACAUCUGAGAAAUGUAGCUACGUCAGGAUAUUAAAAAAAUACUCUCACGUUCUAUCUCUCAACUUUACAAAUUUACAGACGCGUUUUUAAAUCUCUCAAAGCCUAAAAAAUACAAACGACUUCUUAAACUCCUUUUAUAGCUCACACAGUUCCUAAUCCUUGUUGUUGUAUUUAGAUAAGUUCAAACUAGAGCUGUCAAUUGGUCGGGCCGUCCGUUGGGCUAGCCCUGUCCAAGCUUAUAUGGGUGGUCCAUGGUCGGGCCCAAAUAGCACAUGGUCAGUUGGGCCAAAAACCAAUUCACUCCGUGGGCAUAUUGGUCUUAGACCAAAUGGACAUUGGGCUACCCAAUAUAUCUAAUUUCUAGGGUUUCUAAUUGCUUAAUUGGGGGAAAAUUAGAAAUUGAAGAGAUCGUGAAGCUUUCUCUUGCGAUUCUCGUC